This 7140-nucleotide long non-coding RNA is filed under the name Octopus vulgaris (common octopus). The record is from RNAcentral. Lineage: Eukaryota; Metazoa; Mollusca; Cephalopoda; Octopoda; Octopodidae.
UUUUAGAAUUAAAGUGAGAAACAUUGAACGAUUUCCAAACGUUUUGUAUAAUAAACUGAAACAAUUGACAUUAUUACGACAUUAGAAUCCCGGUUUACGCUAGUACUUCCGGUUAAUGACCGCGUUGGCCCAGGAUUUUCUUUUCUGGGAUUUUUUCUCUUUUUAUUUGAUUCACGAAAAUCAACUCCAAAUUAAUUCCUCGGUGAGUUCUUCUCCAUUUCUCCAACUUCCUCUCCUACGUAUUGUUCGUCUAAUACCAUUUUACCUCCUCCGUCAGUUUAUUCCACUCACCUCCAAUUAACUUUCAAUUAAUUUCCUUUCCUUAAUUAAUUUCUUUCACUUUUCUCGUUUAAUUACAUUUUCAGGCGAUCUUUCGUCUCUAGUAGACCUUUCCGUAAAAAAAAUUUUUUUUUUUUUUACAUAUGGGCUUGCGGGAACUUUUGAAGUAAUGAGAGCGAAAGAGACUAAGAGAAAGCGAUUGUAUGACGAGGGAAGUUCUUUUGAAGUUACCGUCCAGGGGAAGCAUUGAUGUACAUGUGUGUGUGUGUGUGUGUUUGAUGGGGUGUGGGAGACAGACAGUAUGUUGUGUAAGUGAAGUGCUUCUGUUAGUGUGUGUGAAGAGACAGAGUAAUGUGUGAAAGAAAGAGAUAACUGAAUUUUUUACUCGGUGUAUGUGUAUAUGUAUGUAUAUUACUUCAAAAGUUCCCGCAAGCCCAUAUGUAAAAAAAAAAAAAAUUUUUUUACGGAAAUCGACGGAAAGGUCUACUAGAGACGAAAGAUCGCCUAUUUCUCUUCUGGAUCACAUUUAAAUUGUUUUAUCGCUGUUAAAUUUUUGGCUAAAUUUCGAUCCUUUCACUCGCCCGAUUUUCGCGUGGAAUUAAGUACCCUGACCUCCUAAUAUGCUGCAAAUCCCUUAUUUUUGUUCGGACAAAAGGGGUGGGGUGAGAAACCGGACCCCUCCUAUAUCCUGGAAUUGGUACUACUAGCGAACAGUUCGAAUGAAUCGACCCCAGUACUUAAGCCUGGUACUUAUUCUGUUAGUGUCUUUUGCCGAACAGCUAAGUUACAGGGACGUGAACGCGCCAACGCCUGUUGUCGAGCGGUAAUAGGGGACACACGUGUGUGAUGGACUUGUUUCUGGUUUCGUUUACCAAAAUCACUCAGAUGACUUAGGUCAACCCAACGCUAUAGUAGAAGAUACUUGCUCAAGGUGCCACGCAGUGGGAUUGAACCUGGAGCCUUGUGGUUGCCCAUUUCGAUAUAUAGGGGUUGGACAAAAUAAUGGAAACACCUAGCAUCAAAGCAUCAUAAUUUUAAAAUAUCUAUAAAACCGUCAAAAGCUUUUUUAUUUAUUAUUAGUGUUGCUUAAUAUGUUUUGCUAAAAUUGCUGUUUCUUUUCAGAUAUCCUCAGAAAAAGGUAAUUAAAAUGACAGAUCUGUCGGAUUUUCAAAGAGGUCAAAUUGUUGGUGCUCGUAGGGCAGGUGCUAGCGUAUCGAAAACAGCCGAAAUGUUUGGUGUAUCAAGAAAUACUGUCUCAAAAGUAAUGACAACCUUUGAGAAAGAGGAAAAAACCUCCUCAUUGAAACAAAACUCCAGAAGAAAAGCAAAAAUUUCUGAUAGGGGCCGUCGGAAUUUUCUGCGAAUUGUUAUAAAGAGUCGCAAAAGUACAGCUCCCAAAAUUACUGCGGAGCUUAAUGACAACAUUGAGAAACCAGUCUCCACAAAAACUGUCCGCCAGGAGCUACACAAAGCCGAACUUCGUGAGAGGGCUGCAAAGCCAGAUGUUACGGAAGGGCAGUGAUUGUAUCUGGUUUUCUUGCUUCAGUAGUACAAUCAAUCUAUAUUGGAAAAUCCCACAAGAUCUUGUAAUUCUCAUCAUCAUUAUUAUUAUUAUUAUUAUUAUUAUUAUUCUUUCCGACGCUGAUGGACGUGUCUGCGGAGGCUCCGUGAAUUUUUCACCAAUUUCAUAGGAAAUCGUUUGAUAAGUGUAAAUAUUUUUUAAUAUUUUUGUAGCCGAGCCGAUUAGCUCUUUGUAGAGCUGAUUGGUUAGGCAAAAAUUUUGCCCCUUUCGGGGUAAAAUUACUGUUUAUUACUUGAAAUUUGACAUUUUUUGCACACACACAUUUACAAAAUGGCUUUGAAACGAGCUGCUGGCUCUUCCCUCCUUGCAACAACACCCCCUACACAAGAAGAAAAAAUUACAUCACAGUUAACGAACCGCCCAUUUCAAGCCGUAAAAGGCAACAGAGCUCCUCUUUCCGAAACGGAAAGCACGCGUACCGUUCGAAAGGAGAAUGCUAGUCAGGACGUCGCGUUCGACGUCACUCUUGAUUUCCCCCUCUGCCUUCAACAAGUGAUGCUGUACCGAAGGGGGAGGAAAAGAAACUUAUAACAGACACAAACACAGACAAGAACCAACAAAAAAAUGUAAAAGUCUCUAACGAUUUUGCUUCUGCUGCGAAGCAAAUUUCGGAAGAUGUAGAAAUAACAAUGAAGGACAUAAAAAUGGCACAAGAUUUGUUGAGAAAGGAGGGAAACAGUGUUUUCCUCAACACACCUCAACAACUCACACAAGAGACAAACAAAAGAACAAUCUUUUAUAAAGUUUUCGAAAAGAAAACUAAAAGAUUGUUUAACGCCACACCACAACAGUUAGAGAUGGCUCUGAAGCCCAUUUGGGGCCAGAAGAGCUAUGUGACAAGAGGGAAGCGAUUUGGAACCGUGGAGGUUCGCUUCCCAACAGAGGAGCUUGCAAGGGCGAACGCCAUUUCGCCCUUGCAAAAUGAACAUUUGUUCCUCGUCCCGACGUACCUCGGGCAUAAGGUACAAAAAAUAACUAUUAACACAAUACCCCCCGAACAGAAAAUCUCAUGGCUAGUGGUGGCUGUCCUCUAUGGCAUAGAGGACACUGCCACUAUUCUGAAUGUUCGGAGGGUACGAGAAAAGAACUGGUCAGGCAUGGGUAUUCAACUGCUGGUACAGAUCCAGCAGGAAAACAUCAAUGCCAUACCUGACUUACUGGAUGGGACCAGGCUAAAUGUUACUGUAGAGGGGCGAAAGCCAAAAUGUUUCCUCUGCAGUAGCGAAAGCCACCUGAAAAGGGACUGCCCCAUUCAGAAAAAGAUAAUGGAGGAGUAUAGCAAGAGGCAGCAACAACAACAAAAACAGCACGAAAUACCAAAGGCUGCCACACCACCAACACCAUCACCAACACCAGCACCAAGACGAACAACACCACCUCCAACAACAAGAACCACCACCAAACCAACACCGACACCAGUACCUCGAAGAUCAACUGCAGCAACAUCAACAGCAACAGGAGCAGCGGCACCACCGAUACCGGCGGAACCAAAAACCUUUCGUCCUGCUACUGAAGCAGACCCUCAACCAUUCCUUUGCCGGAUGAAGAGAUCUCGGAUUGUGCGAGCUCUGAUUCCAACAAAGGAGAAUGGAACAUAGUGCCUCCAAAGAAGAAAAGGAGGAAAAAACAAAAAGAUUUACAGGGGAAGCACGAACAAAUAGUACUUCCCAACAUCAACAACAACACACAUUCACAACAACAAACAACAACAACAACAACACUUUCGACACCACUACUGCCACUGCCACAGACACAAACAAACACAGACACAAUUACACACACAAUUACAGCAAUAAAUACAAAAAACCAAGAACUGGUUGAGUAUUUGAAAGACAAAACAAGCAGUUUUGGGAGUUUUUCAUUGUUUUAUUAUAAUUAUUGUUAAUGUAUUUUUACACGGAUUUUUUAACAAACGGACAAAACCCUUUGUAACCUUUCGUCCUGUCUUGUCCCUUUAUGUAAUCAUGCGUGUCAGCCCUUGUGGCCAAUAAAAAAGAAUUGAUUAUUAUUAUUAUUAUUAUUAUACUCCGACACGACGGACGUACGUGAAUCAGCUCUGUGAGUUUUGUGCCAAUUUUAUUGGAAAUUUGUUAAUAAGUUUGAAUAUUUUUUAAUAUUUUUGUAGCCAAACCAACCGGCUUCUUGCGGAGCUCGUCGGUUGGGCGAAAUUUUGCCCCAUUCGGGGUGAAAUUACUGUUUAUUACAUUGAAAUUGACAUUUUUUUGCACACACACAUUUACAAAAUGGCUUUAAAACGAGCUGCUGGCUCUUCCCUCCUUCUUACAACACCCCCUCCACAAGAAGAAAAAAUUGCGUCACAGAUUACGAACAACCCACUUCGCGCCGUUAAAGGCAACAGAGCUCCUCCUUCCGAAACGGAAAGCACGCGCACCGUUCGAAAGGAGAAUGCUAGUCAGGACGUCGCGUUCGACGUCACUCAUGAUUUCCCCCCUCUGCCUUCAACAAGUGAUGCUGUACCGAAGGGGGAGGAGAGGAGGGUUAUAACGGACACAAACACAGACAAGAACAAAGAAAAAAAUUAAAAAACUUCCAACAAUUUUGCUUCUGCUGCGAAGCAAAUUUCGGAGGAAGUUAAGAUAACUCUAGAAGAUGUGAAAAGAGCUAAGGAGUUGUUGAGGAAGGAUGGCAACGGCAUCUUCCUCAAUACUCCACAAGAGGUGAUUGAAAGCACAAACAAGAAAACAAUCAUAUACAAAGUUUUCGAUAGAAAACUAAAAAGAAUGACAAAUGCCACACCCCAACAGUUAGAGAUAGCUCUAAAGCCCAUUUGGGCCCAAAAGAGCUACGUAACCAAGGGGAAGCGUUUCGGAACCGUGGAGGUUCGCUUCCCAACAGAGGAGCUUGCAAGGGCGAACGCCAUUUCGCCCUUGCAAACUGAGAAUUUGUUACUAAUUCCGACCCACCUCGGGCGAAGAGUAACAAAAAUAAAAAUCAACCUCGCCCCACCUGAGCUAGAUAUGUCAUGGCUGGUGGCAGCUGUCCUCUAUGAUAUAGAGGACACUACCACCAUUCUAGAUGUCAGGAGAGUGAGGGCGAAAAACUGGUUGGGGAUGGGAGUGCUGCUUCUUGCGCAAAUUCAGCAAGAAAAUAUCAGUUAAGUCCCUGAUUUCGUAAGUUUGCCGGACGGCACCAGGCUAAACGUUGCUGUGGAGGGGCGAAAGCCAAAAUGUUUCCUCUGCAGCAGCGAAAGCCACUUAAAGAGGGACUGCCCCAUUCACAAAAAGAGGAUGGAGGCUUUCAGCAAGAGGCAGCAGCAACAACAACAAAAACAGCAAGAAACACCAAAGGCUGCCACACCACCAACACCAGCACCAAGACGAACAACACCACCUCCAACAACAACAACCAACACCAACACCAGUACCUCGAAGAUCAACUGCAGCAACAUCAACAGCAACAGGAGCAGCGGCACCACCGAUACCGGCGGAACCAAAAACCUUUCGUCCUGCUACUGAAGCAGACCCCUCAACCAUUCCUUUGCCGGAUGAAGAGAUCUCGGAUUGUGCGAGCUCUGAUUCCAACAAAGGAGAAUGGAACAUAGUGCCUCCAAAGAAGAAAAGGAGGAAAAAACAAAAAGAUUUACAGGGGAAGCACGAACAAAUAGUAUUUCCCAACAUCAACAACAACACACAUUCACAACAACAAACAACACUUUCGACACCACUACUGCCACUGCCACAGACACAAACAAACACAGACACAAUUACAGCGAUAAAUACAAAAAACCAAGAACUGGUUGAGUAUUUGAAAAACAAAACAAGCACAAACAUUACAGAUUUCAUAAUACCUACACACAACACACCACCAGCACACAUUCUCACAAUAAAAAUAAACAAUACAGUAUACAAUGAAAUUAAACAAAUAUUCCCUAACGAUGGGAUCGUUAGGGAAAAGUUUCUCUAAGAAACUUUAUAAAAAUAUUGUUGAAGCACCCGUGCAAAAGCACAAGGGAGCCACCCCCACCACCAACAACAGUAAGUAGAGCCUUUUUUCUCCUUUUUUUUUUCCUAACUUUUGAAACAUGGCAAAUCUUAGAAUCGGUUGCUUGAAUGUGAGAGGCCUCGGGUCACCUUGGAAACAGGGUCACCUGUUAAACGACCUGAGGUUUCAUGAUGUGGAUGUAGCAGCCAUCAGUGAAACCAGGCUCUCCGACCCGCAGGAACUCGCAGCCCUUUUCGGCGGAUACGAGAUAUUUCUAUCUCCGUGUCGGCCGGGAGCGGGCGGUGGUGGUACUGCGGUGUUGUUUCAGAAGGGCCUGGACCUGAAAAUAAGGACAGUCUUCUUGGAUCCGGAAGGUAAGUUGGUGGUCCUCGACGUGGACGGUAGUGACGGCGGUGCUUUCAGACUGCUGGCUGCCUACACUCCAACAGGAGCAGGGCAGUCAGAUUAUUUCAAACGUCUGGAAGUUUUCCUGGGAACGUCACGCACUCUAGUGCUAGUUGGGGAUUGGAACGCUGUCUUAGACGAACGUUUCGAUCGGGUGGGCAGGGGAGCGUCUGAUAGGAGAGGGGGAGGGUGCAAGAGCCUCGCCAACCUACUCGGCCGCUUUCAGCUGUCCGACAGGUUUCGACUAGACAACCCGAAUGUGCCAAUGUGGACUUGGACAAACCGCACCGGGUCGUCUAGAUCGUACUUAGAGUGUUUUGUAGGCCAGCGGAUAAGGACAGCGUAGGGUGUCCACAAUUCCACCUAGUCGAAUAUACAGACCACAAAUUAGUGAUCUGUACGGUCGACUUAGAUAGGCUACAUAGACAGGGACCCGGUUACUGGAAGCUGAACGCGUCAUUAAUGGCGUGCAAAGCUUACAGAGACCGGAUUAGUUUACUAGUUAAGCGGGCGCUCACGGGGGCAAUCAUCAACAACAACUGGUGGUUUGCCCUCAAGAGAGCAAUUAGAGUAGAGUCGAUUAGGUAUAGUAAGACUCUAGCUAUUGAACGUAGGAAGAGAGAGCGGGAUUUAGUUAAGAAACUAGACGAGGCUCUUGACACUGGCAUCGCGACCGACGUGUUGGCGGCAAAGUUGGACCUCGACCAACACUUCGAUGCCAAACACGAAGGUUGCGUUGUCAGAGCUAAGGCACGUUCGCUAAGCGGGGAAGGGACUAGAGCCGCUCGAUGGGCCCGCGUGGCGGAGGCGAAGCGAGGCAACAGAGCAACCAUUCGGUCUUUGGUGGACCAGAACGGGCGCGAGGUUACCGAACCGAAGCAGAUGUGUACGGUGCUUCAGCGGCACUUUGCUCAACUGUUUGGGACGAGCGG